GUGCUUGUCUAGCGUGCACAAGGCCCUGGAUUUGAUCCCCAGCAGCACAGAAAAAUUAGGUUGGAAUAAUACAGAGACCAGCAUGGCCCCUGUGCAAGGACGACACGCAAAUCUGUAAAGCUUUCCAAACUUUG
RNAcentral lists this small nuclear RNA (134 nucleotides) under Ictidomys tridecemlineatus (thirteen-lined ground squirrel). Lineage: Eukaryota; Metazoa; Chordata; Mammalia; Rodentia; Sciuridae. The record is from RNAcentral.